UACAGAGGGUGCAAGCGUUGUCCGGAUUGACUGGGCGUAAAGCGCACGCAGGCGGUGGUGCGCGUGGGGUGUGAAAUCUGGCCGCUUAACGGCCAGGCGCCAUCCCAUACGGCACGACUGGAGGGCUGCAGAGGUCGAUGGAAUUGCCGGUGUAGUGGUGAAAUGCGUAGAGAUCGGCAGGAACACCCAGGGGGAAACCAGUCGACUGGGCAGCACCUGACGCUGAGGUGCGAGAGCGUGGGGAGCGAACCGG
This 253-nucleotide ribosomal RNA is filed under the name uncultured bacterium. RNAcentral describes it as "partial 16S ribosomal RNA". It matches the Rfam family "Bacterial small subunit ribosomal RNA", at positions 524 to 776 of the family's 1533-position model. The record is from RNAcentral.